Molecule: long non-coding RNA, 833 nt
Organism: Bos taurus (domestic cattle)
Lineage: Eukaryota; Metazoa; Chordata; Mammalia; Artiodactyla; Bovidae
Source: Ensembl
GGCUGCUGGACUGUCCCCCAGGAGGACGUCCCAUGUAGGGCGGCCUGGGUUGGAGGGGAGCAUAGGCAUGCAGGAGGGGCCAUCUGAUCAAGGCCUGGGGCUGCCCGAAGAUCGGGGAGUGGGGACACCUGCCCAUGGAGAGUGCAGCAGGGGGAGCAGUGGCCCCAGGAAGCCUGGUCACCCUGGAUGAGGGACACCUGCCCCCUCCAGGCUGUGCCCUGGGGGUCCUGUUCUGUGAUGGUCACUCCCCCUCAGCCUGCAGGCUCCCAGCAGAUCACCCAUCACCACUGGCCUCUCAGCCCCAUGUCUAGGCUUCACUCUCUCCGGCAUCCUUGCCUUCCUUCACCCCUGACUCAUCUGGAAAAACCCAACCCGCCACGCGGUCUGUGGGCCAUUGUUACGGCAGCCCUGGAAACUGCUACAAUCUCCAGUCUCCAAGACAACUGCCGACUGAAGACAGUGAAGAACGGAACGGUCAGGACCCGGGCCAGGCUUUGCCCCGGGGGAGAGGACGUUCCCACGUGCUGGGACUUGCCUGAAACGCCCCGGGAGGGACGCACAGCCAGGAAGAGGCAGGAGCCAGGUCUUCCUCCUCACUGCACAGCCUGGGUUCCGCUUGCAUUUUUUACUUUUUACCACGUUAAUAAGGAAAUAAAUAAAAUUCAGAUCAGGGAGAAAACAAAAUGUCAAAAGACCCAUGUAAACCCGACACCUCUCCUAACCCUCCUCUCACCUGACUUGCUGUUUAACCAUCGGCCACAAGGGUGGGAGCGGGGACCCUGCCUUUAGCAUCUGCCUGGUCUCUUUCAGAGGAAAGAAAAAUGAGAGGCAGG